GGAGUUAGCUAGGCAAUCGCUGCUGUGCAAGCAGGAGAGGAAAGUCCGGGCUCCUCGGGGCAAGGUGCCAGGUAAUUCCUGGGGGGCGCGAGCCUACGGAAAGUGCAGCAGAGAGUAGACCGCCGGCCUAGCCGGUAAGGGUGAAAGGGUGUGGUAAGAGCGCACCGCGUUCGUGGUAACACGUAACGGCAAGGCAAACCCCACCUGGAGCAAGACCAAAUAGGAAUCCGCAAUGCGUGCCUCGCGCUGGAUUCGGGUAGGUCGCUUGAAAACUGCGGUGACGCAGUUUCUAGAUGAAUGAUUGUCUAAGACAGAACCCGGCUUAUCGGCUAACUCCCCCU
Molecule: RNase P RNA, 341 nt
Filed under: Litorivicinus sp.
Lineage: Bacteria; Pseudomonadati; Pseudomonadota; Gammaproteobacteria; Oceanospirillales; Litorivicinaceae
Description: RNase P RNA component class A
Rfam family: Bacterial RNase P class A
About the family: Ribonuclease P (RNase P) is a ubiquitous endoribonuclease, found in archaea, bacteria and eukarya as well as chloroplasts and mitochondria. Its best characterised activity is the generation of mature 5'-ends of tRNAs by cleaving the 5'-leader elements of precursor-tRNAs. Cellular RNase Ps are ribonucleoproteins.
Source: RNAcentral